CAAUAAUUAUAUAUUAUUAUUUGCCAGACGAAUAUAUUUUUUUUUUCAAUUUCAACCGAUGUUCCAUGAUAAAUUAUGACUCCGCGCCCUCCCAGUAUCUGCAAUGAUAGAAUUCUUUGCCAUACGCUUUUGCUUUAAAUUACCAAAUCAAUGUUCAUAAAAUCACUCUCCCUUUUCAAGUCUUAACAUAAUAAGUUGCCGCACCCAAUCAAUGUACAAAUAUAUCUUAAGGUCAACCUUGCUGUUCCCC
RNAcentral lists this long non-coding RNA (250 nucleotides) under Mytilus galloprovincialis (Mediterranean mussel). The record is from RNAcentral. Lineage: Eukaryota; Metazoa; Mollusca; Bivalvia; Mytilida; Mytilidae.